GAUGAACGCUGGCGGUAUGCCUAACACAUGCAAGUCGUACGAGAGUUUUUAACUCUAGUGGCGGACGGGUGAGUAACACGUGAGAAUUUGCCUUUAGGAGGGGGACAACAAUUGGAAACGAAUGCUAAUACCCCAUAUGCUUUCGAGUGAAAUGGAUUUUAUCCGCCUAGAGAGAAGCUCGCGGCUGAUUAGCUUGUUGGUAAGGUAAGAGCUUACCAAGGCGACGAUCAGUAUCUGGUUUGAGAGGACGAUCAGACACACUGGAACUGAGACACGGUCCAGACUCCUACGGGAGGCAGCAGUGGGGAAUUUUCCGCAAUGGGCGAAAGCCUGACGGAGCAAUCUCGCGUGAGGGAUGACGGCCUAUGGGUUGUAAACCUUCUUUUUCAGGGAGGAACAAAAUGACGUGUACCUGAAGAAUAAGCAUCGGCUAACUCCGUG
RNAcentral lists this ribosomal RNA (441 nucleotides) under uncultured bacterium. RNAcentral's name for it is "bacterial SSU rRNA". It matches the Rfam family "Bacterial small subunit ribosomal RNA", at positions 28 to 507 of the family's 1533-position model. The record is from RNAcentral.